UGCAUAUUUUAGAGCUAAAUCAAUUUUGAGAAGAAUAAUUAAAAAUUACUUUCAAAUCGACUUUAUAAUAUAUUUAAAAAAUAUUAACCAUUUAAGUAUACUUAUUGUAACCCAUCUCUACUUAUCUACAGCUGCAUCUUGAUCUGAAUUCCCUCCUUAUAAAGACUAAUGACCAUUAAUAAUUCUUAUAAAAAAAUCAACCACGAUGAUAUACAAGCAAAAAAUAAGUUCAUAUAAUCGUGGAUUAUCAAUUACAGGACAGGUUCCUCUGAAAAGACUAAAAUACCGCCAAAUUCUUUUGUUUUCAAGAUAAUAACUAAUACUAACCAGGCAAAAAUUUUCAUUUUAUAUUAUAU
Molecule: ribosomal RNA, 356 nt
Filed under: Agrilus biguttatus
Lineage: Eukaryota; Metazoa; Arthropoda; Insecta; Coleoptera; Buprestidae
Description: partial 12S ribosomal RNA
Source: RNAcentral